RNAcentral lists this ribosomal RNA (233 nucleotides) under uncultured bacterium. RNAcentral's name for it is "partial 16S ribosomal RNA". It matches the Rfam family "Bacterial small subunit ribosomal RNA", at positions 89 to 334 of the family's 1533-position model. The record is from RNAcentral.
AGUACAGUGGCGUACGGGUGAGUAACACGUGGAUGAUCUACCCUGGAGUGGGGAAUAACGCUGGGAAACCGGCGCUAAUACCGCAUAAUCCCGAGAGGGCAAAGGAAGCAAUUUCGCUUCAGGAGGAGUCCGCGGCCGAUUAGCUAGUUGGCAGGGUAAAAGCCUACCAAGGCAACGAUCGGUAGCCGGCCUGAGAGGGCACACGGCCACACUGGCACUGAAACACGGGCCAG